Long non-coding RNA from Centropristis striata (black sea bass), 1597 nucleotides. RefSeq lists it as uncharacterized. The transcript is spliced from 3 exons. The record is from RefSeq and is a predicted model, not a curated record. Lineage: Eukaryota; Metazoa; Chordata; Actinopteri; Perciformes; Serranidae.
AAUCGUGAUGAUAUAAAAGCACCGCUCAGACAUUUACACGUGGGCCUGUACUGCUGAACACAAUUUGUUUUAAUGUUAAAUAACAGUCACUGUUGAUCUGUGGACACCUGCUCUAUCUGUGACUGACAGGUUAGCUGUUACAUGAGUAUCUUCUCCUCUGCUUCUCAUUUCACUGCUUUGAUGCAGAAGUCGACUUUUCCCUCGUAGGGGUCGUGGAAGUUUUGGUAGCUGAUCUUUGUGGAGACCACUCUGCACUGGAUCUUGGCCGCCCUCUUUUUGACCAGGCUGAAACGCACGGCCACCAGCGGGUUCACAUAUAUGUGUUUCUCCUCUCUCCUUCCUGUCCCUCCCCACAGAUUUUGAGGCACUCUCAGGGCCGAGAUAAGGUGCAUACGGAGGCUGAGGCGGGCCAACGUAGAAACAGGUGAACUUGACGUCCUUCACUCCUCGGAGAAACGUGAGGAUCACCUUGAACAGCCAGGCGGGCUUCGUUUAUAAUGACAACAGACAAGGUGAAGCACUGCAGAUUUAAAUUUCACACAUCGAAACAUAAACUAAAGCGCUCAUCCGUUUGAUUCUGUACUUGACAAAGAGCCAGUUUGGGUUGGAACAUUUAACUGAAGUAAUAAGGAAGGAAAGUAAGUUUAGAUCAACGUUAAGUGUCAAAAAUGAUUUUCUCUGCCUGCCGAACGAGCUAUUUUACACAAAUGGACGACUCUGUCCCUCCCUCACACUGGAUUAGAGAUAUUAUGUCCUGUAUGAAUCUAGAGAAAAUUAGAUAUACUGUCCAGGGAACGGAGAGUUAAUUUUACAAGUGUGGCAACCAUUCUUAACAAUUUUUGAAAAUCCCACUAUACAGUCAUCUCAGAGUAGCUUUUUGUUUUUGUAUUUUCUUUUCCACAAUUGUUAUUUAUGCAUCUCAUUCCUCUAUCCUAAUAAUUAAUCUGUGCAUUUUUUAAAUUUCAGUUAUUUCUAUAUUUAUUUUUAUUGUUAUUACUGUUUUUUGUUUGCUUUUUUCCCCCCUCAAUUCACUGGAUUUUGAUUUUCUUUCAAUGUAAAGAUAAUUUCUUUGUCUUGUAAUUUACUACGACAUGUACUAUAACUAUAAUUUAAAGUUUAUUUGUCCAUGAUUUAACAUUUUCUUCUGAUUUAGCUGUUUGUCUGUUUUGUUUUGUUUUGUUUUGUUUUGUUUUUUUUGCUGGAUAGUUGGAUGGGUUGUGACAAGAGUGUGUGUUGUUUCUUUUGUCUUUGUACAGUUAACUGUUUUAUUCCUGAAUAACAAUUAAUAAAAAGACCUUGGAAAGAAAAUAUACUAUGUAUUAUGACAUACAAAAUACUAAAUAACACAUCCAGGGUCCCUAUCAUUUUUUUUCUAAUAAGGGGCAGCUGCAAGAUCCCUGUUUCUAACACAUCUGGAGGGCUGGAGUCUAUAUUUCUCUAUAUUUAAAAACGGAUUUAUUGUAACUAUUAUUUCCAUUCUUUCUGCUCCGAUUGACUUUUUUUCCUGUCCUAUCACGAUCUCAUGAUAAAUGCUAAAAUUGACACAGGAUUCCAGAAAAAAAGAGUAAUUCUUUAAAUGGAAUAUCUUAAGUUUUUU